RNAcentral lists this ribosomal RNA (439 nucleotides) under uncultured bacterium. Its description in RNAcentral is "bacterial SSU rRNA". It matches the Rfam family "Bacterial small subunit ribosomal RNA", at positions 338 to 793 of the family's 1533-position model. The record is from RNAcentral.
CCUACGGGAGGCAGCAGUGGGGAAUAUUGCACAAUGGGGGGAACCCUGAUGCAGCGACGCCGCGUGAGUGAAGAAGUAUUUCGGUAUGUAAAGCUCUAUCAGCAGGAACGAGACAAGACGGUACCUGACUAAGAAGCCCCGGCUAACUACGUGCCAGCAGCCGCGGUAAUACGUAGGGGGCAAGCGUUAUCCGGAAUCACUGGGUGUAAAGGGAGCGUAGACGGCUGAGCAAGCCUGAAGUGAAAGGCGGGGGCCCAACCCCCGGACUGCUUUGGGAACUGUACGGCUGGAGUGCAGGAGAGGUAAGUGGAAUUCCUAGUGUAGCGGUGAAAUGCGUAGAUAUUAGGAGGAACACCAGUGGCGAAGGCGGCUUACUGGACUGUAACUGACGUUGAGGCUCGAAAGCGUGGGGAGCAAACAGGAUUAGAUACCCCGGUAG